UGGCUCAGGACGAACGCUGGCGGCGUGCUUAACACAUGCAAGUCGAGCGGUAAGGCCCUUCGGGGUACACGAGCGGCGAACGGGUGAGUAACACGUGAGCAACCUGCCCCUGACUCUGGGAUAAGCGGUGGAAACGCCGUCUAAUACCGGAUACGACCCUCCGUCUCAUGAUGGUGGGUGGAAAGUUUUUCGGUCAGGGAUGGGCUCGCGGCCUAUCAGCUUGUUGGUGGGGUAACGGCCUACCAAGGCGAUUACGGGUAGCCGGCCUGAGAGGGCGACCGGCCACACUGGGACUGAGACACGGCCCAGACUCCUGCGGGAGGCAGCAGUGGGGAAUAUUGCGCAAUGGGCGAAAGCCUGACGCAGCGACGCCGCGUGGGGGAUGACGGCCUUCGGGUUGUAAACCUCUUUUACCACCAACGCAGGCCCGGGGUUCUCUCCGGGUUGACGGUAGGUGGGGAAUAAGGACCGGCUAACUACGUGCCAGCAGCCGCGGUAAUACGUAGGGUCCGAGCGUUGUCCGGAAUUAUUGGGCGUAAAGAGCUCGUAGGCGGCGUGUCGCGUCUGCUGUGAAAGACCGGGGCUUAACUCCGGUUCUGCAGUGGAUACGGGCAUGCUAGAGGUAGGUAGGGGAGACUGGAAUUCCUGGUGUAGCGGUGAAAUGCGCAGAUAUCAGGAGGAACACCGGUGGCGAAGGCGGGUCUCUGGGCCUUACCUGAC
Molecule: ribosomal RNA, 720 nt
Filed under: Nocardiopsis sp.
Lineage: Bacteria; Bacillati; Actinomycetota; Actinomycetes; Streptosporangiales; Nocardiopsidaceae
Description: bacterial SSU rRNA
Rfam family: Bacterial small subunit ribosomal RNA
Source: RNAcentral